AAUAUUGGACAAUGGGCGAAAGCCUGAUCCAGCCAUGCCGCGUGAGUGAUGAAGGCCCUCGGGUUGUAAAGCUCUUUUGUGCGGGAAGAUAAUGACGGUACCGCAAGAAUAAGCCCCGGCUAACUUCGUGCCAGCAGCCGCGGUAAUACGAAGGGGGCUAGCGUUGCUCGGCAUCACUGGGCGUAAAGGGCGCGUAGGCGGGUUUCUAAGUCAGAGGUGAAAGCCUGGAGCUCAACUCCAGAACUGCCUUUGAUACUGGAAGUCUUGAGUUCGGGAGAGGUGAGGGGAACUGCGAGUGUAGAGGUGAAAUUCGUAGAUAUUCUCAAGAACACCAGUGGCGAAGGCGGCUCACGGGCCCGAUACUGACGCUGAGGCACGAAA
This 381-nucleotide ribosomal RNA is filed under the name uncultured bacterium. Its description in RNAcentral is "bacterial SSU rRNA". It matches the Rfam family "Bacterial small subunit ribosomal RNA", at positions 360 to 758 of the family's 1533-position model. The record is from RNAcentral.